This 1031-nucleotide long non-coding RNA is filed under the name Helianthus annuus (common sunflower). RNAcentral's name for it is "hypothetical non coding rna". The record is from RNAcentral. Lineage: Eukaryota; Viridiplantae; Streptophyta; Magnoliopsida; Asterales; Asteraceae.
UCAAACUCACACACACAGCCGCACUCUUUCUCUCCCUACAAAUUUCGGCGACCGGACUCCGGCCGGCGGAGCCGGCGACGAUGACGGCGGCGGUACGGCGGACGACGGAGGUGGCGAAGUUCCGGCGAGGAUUUUCACGGCGGACUUGGGUGUAACCCCCCUAAAUCGACCCUCCUGAGUUCGAUUCCGGUGUCGGUUCCGUCAUCGGAGCACCGGAAGUGACGAUUUCACCUUUGGCAGCCGCGAGUUUGAGUCUCCUUCUCUGUGGUGGUUAGUGGAGACGAAGAUGGGGCUGUGGUGGUGUUCCGACAGCGGAAGCGUCGCUCGCGGCGGCGGCGGUUCAGUCCUGAUUCAGGUUCGGGUUCCGGCCGACGUGAAUGAACUCCGGUGGACAUCAGUCCGGUUUGUUUCCAUUCAGAUAUAAUCUCGGUUCGUUGUUCGGUUCUGGUCUCACAACAUAGACGGUUCGGGUCAGAAUCUGUUUCAGGUUUUGUUUGGUUUCGUUCGAUUCCGGUCACUGACGACAGCCGGAGCCGCAUCUUCGGGAAUGGUGUUGGCGGGGAUGGUGUCGGCAGUGGUGUCGUUUCAGUCUCAACUCGGGUUAACUCAGUUCAGUUUUGAGGAGUGAUUUAGCGUUCAGGUCAAAACAGGUCAAACAGUCAACGUGGGUUUCGGGAUCUGUCCCGUUUCUGUUUCGGGUCAAACUUGGUCAACCUUCGGUCAAGCAGGGUCAACUAGUCAAACACGAGGUUGGGUAAGAUCUUAACGAUGCUAUGGUGGCUUCGGUGUUCCAUCCUCCUAAUCUCCGACAUUCGUCAACACUUGGAUAAUCGGAAGACUUAGCAAUAUAGUUGAUGAUUGAUGAUGCUAAGAAACGGAUUAGCAAAGAUGCCUAGAUACUCACUUAGACGUUUAGGUUUAAAGUAUUGUAUCAAUUUUGUUAUGUUAUGUUGAACAAUGUUGUUAUUCGAAUAUCUUGUAAUGUUUUGACAAUUUAUUUAUGAAAUGAAAUCGGUUGAUUAAAUAUUGUC